UGGAAUUGCUAGUAAUCACAGGUCAGCAUACUGUGGUGAAUACGUUCCCGGGCCUUGUACACACCGCCCGUCACACCAUGGGAGUUGGAGCACCCGAAGCCGGUGAGUUGACCGCAAGGGGACAGCCGUCGAAGGUGAGACUGAUGACUGGGGUGAAGUCGUAACAAGGUAGC
RNAcentral lists this ribosomal RNA (173 nucleotides) under uncultured bacterium. RNAcentral's name for it is "partial 16S ribosomal RNA". It matches the Rfam family "Bacterial small subunit ribosomal RNA", at positions 1327 to 1500 of the family's 1533-position model. The record is from RNAcentral.